GUGCUCGCUCGCUUUGGCAGCACAUAUACUAAAAUUGGAACUACACAGAGAUUAGCAUGGCCCCAGGGCAAGGAUGACAAGCAGAUUCAGGAAGUGUUACACAUUAAA
Molecule: small nuclear RNA, 108 nt
Organism: Phodopus roborovskii (desert hamster)
Lineage: Eukaryota; Metazoa; Chordata; Mammalia; Rodentia; Cricetidae
Source: RefSeq, a predicted model, not a curated record